Coemansia helicoidea is the source of this 74-nucleotide non-coding RNA. The record is from the annotation of a GenBank genome assembly. NCBI's taxonomy places the organism in Eukaryota, Fungi, Kickxellomycota, Kickxellomycetes, Kickxellales, Kickxellaceae.
GCCGAUCUGGCUCAAUUGGAUAGAGCACUCGCCUCCUAAGCGAGAGGUUGCGGGUUCGAGUCCCGCGUUCGGUU